Molecule: long non-coding RNA, 220 nt
Filed under: Oryza brachyantha (malo sina)
Lineage: Eukaryota; Viridiplantae; Streptophyta; Magnoliopsida; Poales; Poaceae
Description: long non-coding RNA (OBRA_LNC003638)
Source: RNAcentral
AUUUCUUUGCAACUAUAGAAGGCUCAUUAGCUAGGGUUUGAAUCUCUUCAGAGACUUGUUCACCAUUCUGUAAUAAUUCUGCCACAUGAAACCCAAACCACUCAUGGAACUUCUCAAAAUGAAUACGACUGAUUUCUCUGUUAUUUUCAUGGCCAAGUGACGACAGGUAGUCAAGAUGUUUUCUGUAGAGGUUAAAUUUAUUCAGUACAAACAGUAAUAA